AUUGAACGCUGGCGGCAUGCUUUACACAUGCAAGUCGAACGGUAACAGGCCGCAAGGUGCUGACGAGUGGCGAACGGGUGAGUAAUGCAUCGGAACGUGCCCAGUCGUGGGGGAUAACGCAGCGAAAGCUGCGCUAAUACCGCAUACGAUCUAUGGAUGAAAGCGGGGGACCGUAAGGCCUCGCGCGAUUGGAGCGGCCGAUGUCAGAUUAGGUAGUUGGUGGGGUAAAGGCUCACCAAGCCAACGAUCUGUAGCUGGUCUGAGAGGACGACCAGCCACACUGGGACUGAGACACGGCCCAGACUCCUACGGGAGGCAGCAGUGGGGAAUUUUGGACAAUGGGCGCGAAGCCUGAUCCAGCAAUGCCGCGUGCAGGAAGAAGGCC
RNAcentral lists this ribosomal RNA (385 nucleotides) under uncultured bacterium. RNAcentral describes it as "bacterial SSU rRNA". It matches the Rfam family "Bacterial small subunit ribosomal RNA", at positions 29 to 416 of the family's 1533-position model. The record is from RNAcentral.